GGCAACGUGGCAGAGUGGUCUAAUGCGCUACCCUCGAAUUGGUGAAAGGUAGUAACUUCGGUUGCACAGGUUCGAAUCCUGUCGUUGUCG
Molecule: non-coding RNA, 90 nt
Organism: Hirsutella rhossiliensis
Lineage: Eukaryota; Fungi; Ascomycota; Sordariomycetes; Hypocreales; Ophiocordycipitaceae
Source: the annotation of a RefSeq genome assembly